GCGCUCGCUUCGGCAUCAUAUAUACUAAAUUGGAAGGAUACAGAGAAGAUGAGCAUGGCCCCUGCGCAAGGAUGAUGCGCAAACUCGUGAAGUAUUUCAACUUUUU
Small nuclear RNA from Ochotona curzoniae (black-lipped pika), 106 nucleotides. Lineage: Eukaryota; Metazoa; Chordata; Mammalia; Lagomorpha; Ochotonidae. The record is from RefSeq and is a predicted model, not a curated record.